ACUUACAUAAACCUUGAGUGUAGUCUACUGCACACCUGGGCAAUAUGGUAUAGCGUAUUGCUCCUAGGCUGCCAACCUGCACAGCAUGUUAUUGUACUGAACAAUGUAGGCAAUGUAACGCAAUGAUAUUUGUGUAUCUAAACAUACCUAAAUGCAGAAAUGCUGCAGUAGAUAUACAACAUAAAAGAUUGUUUUUAAGUCCACCUGUAGAAGGCACUUACCAUGAAUUGAACUUGCAGGCUUGGAAAUAUCUCUGGGUUCUGCUUGAAUUCUUGCCCUGGCUCUUGGUGAAGGAUCGGCCUGCUGGAUCUGAGUCAUCCACCUAUAAGAGGGACAACACCACACAUUGGUCGCUGCUCUCAAGCCCCUGGAAUACCACCCCACUUGGCUUCUCCUGGUAACAGUGGCUGCCUUUGCUUGCCUGUCUCCAACUCCUCCCAAGAGCAUUGCUGACUAUACCACCCACAUAAACAAAAACUUUUUGGGAGUCCUCCAGAAUUUUUAAGAGUUAUCUAAACUAUUGCCUUUAAUGACCAGGAACUCCAAUUUGAGAAGUUACCCUACGUUAAGCCAACAGCAGCCUGGCUCCUUCAUCCUGUGCAGUAUGGGACAGAGCUGGGUCCUUGUUGUCAUCAGCCAGACAAGCACACAUUAAAGCCCACCUUAGCCAUUGGCAUUACAGCUUUAAAAGCAGCUCCAUCCUACCAUGCUGUCACUCUACUCAAUCACGUGAUCUUAACGACCAGCUCUACAUAUCCUCUCUCCAUGCCCCCACCACCAUCCCCCACCAACAAAUCCGAUUCUGCUAUCAGCUACAGGUCUGGGUUUGUGUCUCCGACAAAGAACCACCUCAAAGCCCCACAGAAAAGGACUGUACCGUAUACUUCAAACUAUUGACACCUCAAAGAACAGAGCUUGGGUUCAGGCUUCUGAUGCAUUCUGAGACACUCUCAGACCAUACCAGUGGGCUGGGUCAGGAUUUACAGAACUAUUUUCAUUUCAAGAGCAUACGGGCUCAUGAGAUUGCUAACUCAAGAUCCGGUGGAACAGAAAUACUUAUAUCGGACUGAAUAAACUGAUGAGGAAAA
Molecule: long non-coding RNA, 1088 nt
Organism: Homo sapiens (human)
Lineage: Eukaryota; Metazoa; Chordata; Mammalia; Primates; Hominidae
Product: long intergenic non-protein coding RNA 2020
Source: Ensembl